AUCCAGCUGACGAGUCCCAAAUAGGACGAAACGUGUGUUCUAGGU
Non-coding RNA from Schistosoma mattheei, 45 nucleotides. NCBI's taxonomy places the organism in Eukaryota, Metazoa, Platyhelminthes, Trematoda, Strigeidida, Schistosomatidae. The record is from Rfam.